RNAcentral lists this ribosomal RNA (361 nucleotides) under uncultured fungus. Its description in RNAcentral is "eukaryotic LSU rRNA". The stretch from base 1 to 71 matches the Rfam family "5.8S ribosomal RNA", at positions 84 to 154 of the family's 154-position model. Lineage: Eukaryota; Fungi. The record is from RNAcentral.
GUGAAUCAUCGAGUCUUUGAACGCACCUUGCGCCCCUUGGCAUUCCGAGGGGCACACCCGUUUGAGUGUCGUGAAAUCUUCAAAAUCCCUCUCUUUUGAGGAUUUUUGGACUUGGAGGUUCAAUGCUCGCUUUUGCCUUUUUAGAAAGCGAGCUCCUCUCAAAUGAAUCAGUGGGGUCUGCUUUGCCGGUCCUUGACGUGAUAAGGUCUUUCUACGUUUUUGGAUUCGACAUCGUCCCGCUUCCAAUCGUCCCACGGACAAAAGGAUGGUGCUCCGGUCGCGGCCGGACCCACCAAAAAAAACCUUGACCUCAAAUCGGGUGAGACUACCCGCUGAACUUAAGCAUAUCAAUAAGCGGAGG